GCCUGUUUGGCUCAGUGGAUAGAGCAUUGACCUGUGGACUUAAAGGUCCCGGGUUCAAUUCCUGGUCAGGGCA
RNAcentral lists this transfer RNA (73 nucleotides) under Myotis davidii. It matches the Rfam family "tRNA". Rfam says of the family: Transfer RNA (tRNA) molecules are approximately 80 nucleotides in length. Their secondary structure includes four short double-helical elements and three loops (D, anti-codon, and T loops). Further hydrogen bonds mediate the characteristic L-shaped molecular structure. tRNAs have two regions of fundamental functional importance: the anti-codon, which is responsible for specific mRNA codon recognition, and the 3' end, to which the tRNAs corresponding amino acid is attached (by aminoacyl-tRNA synthetases). tRNAs cope with the degeneracy of the genetic code in two manners: having more than one tRNA (with a specific anti-codon) for a particular amino acid; and 'wobble' base-pairing, i.e. permitting non-standard base-pairing at the 3rd anti-codon position. The record is from Rfam by way of RNAcentral. Lineage: Eukaryota; Metazoa; Chordata; Mammalia; Chiroptera; Vespertilionidae.